CCUACGGGAGACAGCAGUGAGGAAUAUUGGUCAAUGGGCGCGAGCCUGAACCAGCCAAGUCGCGUGAGGGAAGACGGUCCUAUGGAUUGUAAACCUCUUUUGUCGGGGAGCAAAAGACGCCACGCGUGGCGUUCCGAGAGUACCCGAAGAAAAAGCAUCGGCUAACUCCGUGCCAGCAGCCGCGGUAAUACGGAGGAUGCGAGCGUUAUUCGGAGUUAUUGGGUUUAAAGGGUGCGCAGGCGGAAGAUCAAGUCAGCGGUAAAAUUGAGAGGCUCAACCUCUGCGAGCCGUUGAAACUGGUUUUCUUGAGUGAGCGAGAGGUAUGCGGAAUGCGUGGUGUAGCGGUGAAAUGCAUAGAUAUCACGAAGAACUCCGAUUGCGAAGGCAGCAUACCGGCGCUCAACUGACGCUCAUGCACGAAAGUGUGGGUAGCGAACAGGAUUAGAUACCCCAGUAGUC
This 459-nucleotide ribosomal RNA is filed under the name uncultured bacterium. RNAcentral describes it as "partial 16S ribosomal RNA". It matches the Rfam family "Bacterial small subunit ribosomal RNA", at positions 338 to 795 of the family's 1533-position model. The record is from RNAcentral.